Molecule: ribosomal RNA, 497 nt
Filed under: uncultured bacterium
Lineage: Bacteria
Description: partial 16S ribosomal RNA
Source: RNAcentral
GUAGUUAGCCGGGGCUUUCUAAUGGGGUACCGUCAUUUUUUCGUCCCCCACAACAGAGGUUUACAAUCCGAAAACCUUCUUCCCUCACGCGGCGUUGCUGGGUCAGGCUUGCGCCCAUUGCCCAAUAUUCCCCACUGCUGCCUCCCGUAGGAGUCUGGACCGUGUCUCAGUUCCAGUGUGGCCGAUCAGCCUCUCAGCUCGGCUACCCAUCGCAGGCUUGGUGGGCUGUUAUCUCACCAACUACCUAAUGGGACGCGAACCCCUCCCUCAGCGGAUUGCUCCUUUGACCUCAUCCCGAUGCCGGGUCGUGGUCUUAUGCGGUAUUAGCACUUGUUUCCAGGUGUUAUCCCCCUCUGAAGGUCAGGUUGUUCACGCGUUACUCACCCGUUCGCCACUAAAAUUUAUCUUCCAUCCGAAAACUUCUGAUAAAUCUCCGUUCGACUUGCAUGUGUUAGGCACGCCGCCAGCGUUCGUCCUGAGCCAUGAUCAAACUCUGA